Molecule: ribosomal RNA, 503 nt
Filed under: Metschnikowia aff. pulcherrima P01C004
Lineage: Eukaryota; Fungi; Ascomycota; Pichiomycetes; Serinales; Metschnikowiaceae
Description: LSU rRNA
Rfam family: Eukaryotic large subunit ribosomal RNA
Source: RNAcentral
CCUCACCCUCGUAAGACUACCCGCUGAACUUAAGCAUAUCAAUAAGCGGAGGAAAAGAAACCAACAGGGAUUGCCUCAGUAACGGCGAGUGAAGCGGCAAAAGCUCAAAUUUGAAAUCCCCCGGGAAUUGUAAUUUGAAGAGAUUUGGGUCCGGCCGGCGGGGGUUAAGUCCACUGGAAAGUGGCGCCACAGAGGGUGACAGCCCCGUGAACCCCUUUAAAGCCUUCAUCCCAGAUCUCCAAGAGUCGAGUUGUUUGGGAAUGCAGCUCUAAGUGGGUGGUAAAUUCCAUCUAAAGCUAAAUACCGGCGAGAGACCGAUAGCGAACAAGUACAGUGAUGGAAAGAUGAAAAGCACUUUGAAAAGAGAGUGAAAAAGUACGUGAAAUUGUUGAAAGGGAAGGGCUUGCAAGCAGACACUUAACUGGGCCAGCAUCGGGGCGGCGGGGAGCAAAACCACCGGGGAAUGUACCUUUCGAGGAUUAUAACCCCGGCCCUUACUCCCA